RNAcentral lists this ribosomal RNA (253 nucleotides) under uncultured bacterium. RNAcentral's name for it is "partial 16S ribosomal RNA". It matches the Rfam family "Bacterial small subunit ribosomal RNA", at positions 524 to 776 of the family's 1533-position model. The record is from RNAcentral.
UACGUAGGGUGCGAGCGUUGCCCGGAUUUAUUGGGCGUAAAGGGCGCGUAGGCGGCUCUGCACGUCCGUUGUGAAAUCGCCCGGCUCAACUGGGCGGGGUCAGCGGAUACGGCGGAGCUUGAGCAAGCUAGGGGGCAAUGGAAUUCCCGGUGUAGCGGUGAAAUGCGCAGAUAUCGGGAAGAACACCCGUGGCGAAGGUGGCUCUCUGGGACGGUACUGACGCUGAGACGCGAAAGCGUGGGGAGCGAACAGG